This 561-nucleotide ribosomal RNA is filed under the name uncultured bacterium. RNAcentral's name for it is "bacterial SSU rRNA". It matches the Rfam family "Bacterial small subunit ribosomal RNA", at positions 338 to 917 of the family's 1533-position model. The record is from RNAcentral.
CCUACGGGAGGCAGCAGUGGGGAAUAUUGCACAAUGGGCGAAAGCCUGAUGCAGCAACGCCGCGUGAGCGAAGAAGGCCUUCGGGUCGUAAAGCUCUGUCCUAAGGGAAGAAAAAUGACGGUACCUUAGGAGGAAGCCCCGGCUAACUACGUGCCAGCAGCCGCGGUAAUACGUAGGGGGCGAGCGUUAUCCGGAAUCACUGGGCGUAAAGGGUGCGUAGGCGGCCAAAUAAGCCAGGGGUGAAAGGCUGCGGCUCAACCGCAGUAAGCCUUUGGAACUGUAUGGCUUGAGUGCAGGAGAGGAGAGUGGAAUUCCUAGUGUAGCGGGGAAAUGCGUAGAUAUUAGGAGGAACACCAGUGGCGAAGGCGACUCUCUGGACUGCAACUGACGCUGAGGCACGAAAGCGUGGGGAGCGAACAGGAUUAGAUACCCUGGUAGUCCGCGCCGUAAACGAUGAGUGCUAGGUGUCGGGGGUUCACACCCUCGGUGCCGGAGUUAACGCAUUAAGCACUCCGCCUGGGGAGUACGGUCGCAAGACUGAAACUCAAAGGAAUUGACGGA